This 138-nucleotide transfer RNA is filed under the name Anopheles maculatus. RNAcentral describes it as "tRNA tRNA-Tyr". It matches the Rfam family "tRNA". Rfam says of the family: Transfer RNA (tRNA) molecules are approximately 80 nucleotides in length. The record is from RNAcentral. Lineage: Eukaryota; Metazoa; Arthropoda; Insecta; Diptera; Culicidae.
CCUUCGAUAGCUCAGUUGGUAGAGCGGUGGACUGUAGAAAAUAGAGGAGGACCAGGGAUCAAUCAAGCAGAAAUUGCAUCUGGCCACCUCCAGUCAAUAGAAAUCCAUAGGUCACUGGUUCAAAUCCAGUUCGAAGGA